UACGUAGGGUGCAAGCGUUGUCCGGAAUUAUUGGGCGUAAAGAGCUCGUAGGCGGUUUGUCGCGUCGAAUGUGAAAACCCGGGGCUCAACCCCGGGCCUGCAUUCGAUACGGGCAGACUAGAGUUCGGUAGGGGAGUCUGGAAUUCCUGGUGUAGCGGUGAAAUGCGCAGAUAUCAGGAGGGACACCGGUGGCGAAGGCGGGACUCUGGGCCGAUACUGACGCUGAGGAGCGAAAGCGUGGGGAGCAAACAGG
Molecule: ribosomal RNA, 253 nt
Filed under: uncultured bacterium
Lineage: Bacteria
Description: partial 16S ribosomal RNA
Rfam family: Bacterial small subunit ribosomal RNA
Source: RNAcentral